CGGAAGUGCUGAUGGGGAGUCAGUAGUAAGGCUGCGGGGCGCCGGCGGGCGCUUCGGGCGGGCCGGGCCGGGCCGGGUCGGGUUGCUGUGGGGGCCGGGGGCACGGCCUGGGCCUUGAGUAGGUGUGCUGAGGCGGGUCCUGGCGCCGCUGCCGGCGGGCAGGGGCUGGGCAGGCUGCGGAAGGUGUCCGUGUCCCUUCACGAGAGGUAUCGGCCGCCAGUGCCCCGAGGAGGGUCUGCCCGGCGGAGGCGCUGCCCGGCGGAGGCGCUGCCCGGCGGAGGCGCUGGGGAGUACCUCGUCGCAGCCCUAAAUCGGAUCCCUCUGUGGGGUUAUUCAGAAUUAAUUCUCAUGUCAGCAGAAAGCUCAACUAUCACAGUUCGUCUUGUUCGCUCUUUUGAACACCGGAAUUUCAGACCUGUGGUGUAUCAUGGAGUUAACUUGGAUCAGACAGUAAAGCAGUUCAUUACUUUUGUGCUGAAGGAUGUGUCUUCAAGAACAGGUCUUCCUCCUCCUUUUAAAAAUUACAAGUAUGAUACAAUGAAGAUUAUUCACCAAGCACACAAGUCUAAGACGGGUGAACUUGUAGUGAGUUUGGAAGAUGAUGACAAACUGAUUUUGAAAGAAGACAGUACGCUGAAAGCAGCUGGAAUAGGCAUAAGAGGCAAUGCAGUUCAAGAGAGGGACUGUUGACAUACUAAGUGUUGAAUUAGAAAUUACAUUGUCCAGAGCUGCCUUCUUUCAAAAAGCAAAUGAGACUGAAUUAGCAUUCUUCUGUGAGGAAGAUUACAGAAACUACAAAGCUAAUCCUGUUUUGGCCUGGUGAAGAUCCCAAGAGAUUGUUUUGUUUUCCCAUACCUGUUGUAAAUUUUCCUUAUUCUGCUUAAUGAGAUUUUUCUUAAAGAUCAAUAAAUCCUAGAGGAUUGCUUUGCAAACAGUGCAAUUCUUUUCCUAUAGAAAU
RNA transcript from Strigops habroptila (Kakapo), 958 nucleotides. It is a transcript of the gene named chromosome 5 C2orf76 homolog, with no coding region annotated. NCBI's taxonomy places the organism in Eukaryota, Metazoa, Chordata, Aves, Psittaciformes, Psittacidae. The transcript has 7 exons. The record is from RefSeq and is a predicted model, not a curated record.